GGAAUCACUGGGCGUAAAGCGUGCGUAGGCGGUUGUGUAAGUCUGAAGUGAAAGUCCAAGGCUCAACCUUGGGAUUGCUUUGGAAACUGCAUGACUUGAGUGCUGGAGAGGCAAGGGGAAUUCCACGUGUAGCGGUGAAAUGCGUAGAUAUGUGGAGGAAUACCAGUGGCGAAGGCGCCUUGCUGGACAGUGACUGACGCUGAGGCACGAAAGCGUGGGGAGCAAACAGGAUUAGAUACCCUGGUAGUCCACGCCGUAAACGAUGAGUGCUAGGUGUUGGGGGGACACACCCCAGUGCCGAAGGAAACCCAAUAAGCACUCCGCCUGGGGAGUACGGUCGCAAGACUGAAACUCAAAGGAAUUGACGGGGGCCCGCACAAGCAGUGGAGCAUGUGGUUUAAUUCGAAGCAACGCGAAGAACCUUACCAGGGCUUGACAUCCCUCUGACCGGUGCAGAGAUGUACCUUCCCUUUGGGGCAGAGGAGACAGGUGGUGCAUGGUUGUCGUCAGCUCGUGUCGUGAGAUGUUGGGUUAAGUCCCGCAACGAGCGCAACCCUUGAUCUGUGUUACCAGCACGUGAUGGUGGGGACUCACAGGUGACUGCCGGCGUAAGUCGGAGGAAGGCGGGGAUGACGUCAAAUCAUCAUGCCCUUUAUGUCCUGGGCUACACACGUGCUACAAUGGGCGGUACAACGGGAAGCGAAGCCGCGAGGUGGAGCCAAACCUAAAAAGCCGUUCGUAGUUCGGAUUGCAGGCUGCAACUCGCCUGCAUGAAGCCGGAAUUGCUAGUAAUCGCGGAUCAGCAUGCCGCGGUGAAUCCGUUCCCGGGCCUUGUACACACCGCCCGUCACACCACGAGAGUCGGCAACACCCGAAGUCGGUGAGGUAACCAUGAUGGAGCCAGCCGCCGAA
This 912-nucleotide ribosomal RNA is filed under the name Alicyclobacillus acidoterrestris. RNAcentral's name for it is "bacterial SSU rRNA". It matches the Rfam family "Bacterial small subunit ribosomal RNA", at positions 547 to 1460 of the family's 1533-position model. The record is from RNAcentral. Lineage: Bacteria; Bacillati; Bacillota; Bacilli; Caryophanales; Alicyclobacillaceae.